RNAcentral lists this ribosomal RNA (389 nucleotides) under uncultured bacterium. Its description in RNAcentral is "partial 16S ribosomal RNA". It matches the Rfam family "Bacterial small subunit ribosomal RNA", at positions 523 to 918 of the family's 1533-position model. The record is from RNAcentral.
AUACGUAGGGGGCAAGCGUUAUCCGGAUUUACUGGGUGUAAAGGGCGCGUAGGCGGGAGUGCAAGUCAGGUGUGAAAUCUAUGGGCUCAACCCAUAAACUGCAUUUGAAACUGCAUUUCUUGAGUGAAGUAGAGGUAAGCGGAAUUCCUGGCGUAGCGGUGAAAUGCGUAGAUAUCAGGAGGAACACCAGUGGCGAAGGCGGGUAACUGGACUGCAACUGACGCUGAGGCGCGAAAGUGUGGGGAGCAAACAGGAUUAGAUACCCUGGUAGUCCACACUGUAAACGAUGAAUGCUAAGUGUUGGAAUUAUCCAGUGCUGCAGUUAACGCAAUAAGUAUUCCGCCUGGGGAGUACGGCCGCAAGGUUGAAACUCAAAUGAAUUGACGGGG